RNAcentral lists this ribosomal RNA (484 nucleotides) under uncultured bacterium. RNAcentral's name for it is "partial 16S ribosomal RNA". It matches the Rfam family "Bacterial small subunit ribosomal RNA", at positions 30 to 507 of the family's 1533-position model. The record is from RNAcentral.
AUUGAACGCUGGCGGCAGGCCUAACACAUGCAAGUCGAGCGGAUGAAGGGAGCUUGCUCCUGGAUUCAGCGGCGGACGGGUGAGUAAUGCCUAGGAAUCUGCCUGGCAGUGGGGGAUAACGUCCGGAAACGGGCGCUAAUACCGCAUACGUCCUGAGGGAGAAAGUGGGGGAUCUUCGGACCUCACGCUAUCAGAUGAGCCUAGGUCGGAUUAGCUAGUUGGUGGGGUAAAGGCCUACCAAGGCGACGAUCCGUAGCUGGUCUGAGAGGAUGAUCAGUCACACUGGAACUGAGACACGGUCCAGACUCCUACGGGAGGCAGCAGUGGGGAAUAUUGGACAAUGGGCGAAAGCCUGAUCCAGCCAUGCCGCGUGUGUGAAGAAGGUCUUCGGAUUGUAAAGCACUUUUAGUUGGGAGGAAGGGCAGUAAGUUAAUACCUUGCUGUUUUGACGUUACCAACAGAAUAAGCACCGGCUAACUUCGUG